UACGGAGGGGGACUAGCGUUGUUCGGAAUUACUGGGCGUAAAGCGCACGUAGGCGGAUUUGUAAGUCAGGGGUGAAAUCCCGGGGGCUCAACCUCGGAACUGCCUUUGAUACUGCAAAUCUCGAGUCCGGAAGAGGUGAGUGGAAUUCCUAGUGUAGAGGUGAAAAUUCGUAGAUAUUAGGAAGAACACCAGUGGCGAAGGCGGCUCACUGGUCCGGUACUGACGCUGAGGUGCGAAAGCGUGGGGGAGCAAACAGG
This 257-nucleotide ribosomal RNA is filed under the name uncultured bacterium. Its description in RNAcentral is "partial 16S ribosomal RNA". It matches the Rfam family "Bacterial small subunit ribosomal RNA", at positions 524 to 776 of the family's 1533-position model. The record is from RNAcentral.